RNAcentral lists this long non-coding RNA (1259 nucleotides) under Carassius auratus (goldfish). RNAcentral's name for it is "lncRNA (ENSCARG00000040391.1)". The record is from RNAcentral. Lineage: Eukaryota; Metazoa; Chordata; Actinopteri; Cypriniformes; Cyprinidae.
AUGAGCAAACUGUCAGUCAGCGUCCUACGUUCGCUCAGGAUGGACAUAAAAUACGUUUUGGUAGAUUUUUUCACAGACAACACCGUUCAUAUAUGUGAACUUUCACAAAUAAAACACAAAAAUAUGUCAAAACUACACCCCGAGGCCAUUCACAAGUGGAACAAAGAUGAGGAAGCAUAUGUUUACUGGAAGAAAACUUCGUCAGGCGAGCUGCAGCGUUGGCCUUGUCGAGUCAUCCAGUUUAGUGGAAAAUGCACCAGUAACCAAAAAAAAGAAAAAGACCAAAAACAUCAUUCAACAGAAGAUUAUGGCUGCGGUGAAACAAAGCUGCACUCAAAUAAAUGUCAGCAGGAAACUACAUUAUUUUAUCUUUUGUAAACUAUAACUUUACAGCUAGAAUACAUAAUAACUGAUAUUGUACUUCAGGAACCAAGACCUGCCGUGGGAGUGCUGAAGGAUUCAAGUGUACCAAGUCCUUCGUCUCCUCAGCCAUGUAAGAGGUCAGACAUGGCUGAAGAGAUCAAAGAGUUUAAAAAUGAAAUUAAAGAGCUUAAAGAAGAUUUAAAAUAUGAGCGUCGCUUCAGGAUAAAAGCAGAGAGAGAGCUGAGGGAGUGGAAAGGUAAUGAAAUCUAGCUAUAGUGCAGCAAUUGUUCUCAAUCUUCUUCAGUAUAUAUAAUAUCAUAUUCUUUUUGAAUACUCGAUUCUGAUUGGCUGGAAGGUGUGCAUUAAACAAUGAAUGCACAGGUUACAAGUCAGUUGAAUCACUGUUCUAAAUUAAUGUGCUGCUUUUAUUGUAGGACACACACACACACACACACACACACACACUCACAUACACUCACACACAGGCAGUCACUCGCAAAAAGAGAUCUUGCAAUGAUCUCACACGCAGAAAUAUCAAAAGUAACCGAAAAGUAACCUGGUCUGUCCUGUCUGUCAGUGAGUGCGUUGUCAGUCUCUUCUCUGCCACGCAAUGUAUUUUUCCUUGCGUAAGAACAUGGAAGGUCAUGAGAGCAGUGUAGCUUGUCAGGCAUAGCGACAGUAACUAAGGGGGGUGGGUCUUUGCGAACUGACAAUUAAAGUGACAGCUUCAUUAGGAAAAUGCUGUGCCUGAUGAAAAUAGGCUAAUUUUUCAACUGUGCCUGAUGAAAAUAGGCUAAUUUUUCAACUCCCCAUUUAUCCUGACCACGACUGUAUUUAUCAAUUCAUAUUAAUAUUUUUCCCAAUUAUUUUAUUUUGAUUUUAGAUUAGAAUCUUGA